AUUGAACGCUGGCGGCAUGCUUUACACAUGCAAGUCGAACGGUAACAGGCCUUCGGGUGCUGACGAGUGGCGAACGGGUGAGUAAUACAUCGGAACGUACCCAGAGGUGGGGGAUAACGCAGCGAAAGCUGUGCUAAUACCGCAUGUGAUCUGAGGAUGAAAGCGGGGGACCGAGCAGCAAUGUUUGGCCUCGCGCCUUUGGAGCGGCCGAUGUCGGAUUAGCUAGUUGGUGGGGUAAAGGCCUACCAAGGCGACGAUCCGUAGCUGGUCUGAGAGGACGACCAGCCACACUGGAACUGAGACACGGCCCAGACUCCUACGGGAGGCAGCAGUGGGGAAUUUUGGACAAUGGGCGCAAACCUGAUCCAGCAAUGCCGCGUGCGGGAAGAAGGCCUUCGGGUUGUAAACCGCUUUUGGCAGGAACGAAACGGUGUCCGCUAAUACCGGGCGCUAAUGACGGUACCUGCAGAAUAAGCACCGGCUAGCUACGUG
This 492-nucleotide ribosomal RNA is filed under the name uncultured bacterium. RNAcentral describes it as "partial 16S ribosomal RNA". It matches the Rfam family "Bacterial small subunit ribosomal RNA", at positions 30 to 507 of the family's 1533-position model. The record is from RNAcentral.